AUAAAUAGUUUUUUCUUACAUUAGUUUUAAAAUAAAUAUCUUAAAUAGUGUACUAAACCGAAAAUUAUAAUUGGGUUUUGCUUUUCUUUUCUUUCUCUGUACUAAAACGGUAUAUAUUAACAAUUUGGGUUUCAUUUUGUUUUUUCUAUUUUGUGAACCAAAUGAACUAGAAAAAUAAUAUUUUAAAAUAAAUCUCUAUUAGUAAGAAAAAGAAUUGAAUCAAUGUUGUAUAUAAUACCAUUUUUCUCUCUCUCUCCCUAUGUCUCUCCUGAUACAAUUUCUCUCUCGUUAACUCAUUCGCAACUCGUCUUCUCAUUCGUUUUCGCUCAGUGACUAUGGUUGAUCUUGCUUUUUUCUUUUUACCUGAAAUAAAAUCUCAAUCUGUCUCAGGAUUGAUACGAAAACAAUAUCGAAAAACAGAGGAAGAAAUGAUAGUUGGGUCUAACUUGAUGAUGUUCUUGGACGUUAACCAAGAUCGACUACAAGAAAACAUAGAGUUUUCCUACCAAUUUUCCUAUGAAAGUUUUGAUAGGGGGAGUUAUUUCCUACCAAAUUUCUAUGAAUUGGUUACGAAAUAUAUAUUUUAUAGGAAAUUUAAAAGAAAAUUCCUACAAAAUUAGUCGUCAGAAUUUCGUACGAAAAUCCUACAAAAUUUAUCAUCGUACGAAAUUGGAAGGAAAGUCAUGAGAAAAGAAUGUAGGAACGAUUUCUUUCCAAUUUCCCAUGAAUCCGUUAUCGUAGAAAAUUAAAAAAAAAAUCAUUAGAAAAAAAUAGUAAAAAAUUAGUAGAAAAUAAUUAUUAAAAAUAAUAUAUUAUUUAAUUACUCUACUAAAUUCCUACACUAAAAUAAUAUUAUUUAAUUAACCUAUUAAAUUCUUACGAAAAUUGUAAAACAUUGUUCUAUGCUUUAAU
Molecule: small RNA, 912 nt
Filed under: Arabidopsis thaliana (thale cress)
Lineage: Eukaryota; Viridiplantae; Streptophyta; Magnoliopsida; Brassicales; Brassicaceae
Description: ATSL045270
Source: RNAcentral